This is a non-coding RNA of Pelobates cultripes (western spadefoot toad), 208 nucleotides long. Lineage: Eukaryota; Metazoa; Chordata; Amphibia; Anura; Pelobatidae. The record is from the annotation of a GenBank genome assembly.
UGACAACCCAAAACAAUCAAAAGAUAUCAAGACAAAGUAUUGACAAAACAUUACAAAAAGUGGAGCUUCUGCUGUGUAGUUCUGUCAAAAUCUCACAGGUUUCAUACAUACCUCCCAACAUUUCAAAGAGGGACGCAUCCUUUUUGGGGUGUGAGUGUGGAUGUGGCCAGGAGCAAGGCUGCUCUGAGACAUUUUAGGUGAGUUAUAA